CGGUGGUGUAGUGGUUAACAUGCCAGUCUGUCACACUGGAGAUCGCGGGUUCAAGUCCCGUCCGG
This 65-nucleotide transfer RNA is filed under the name pig gut metagenome. It matches the Rfam family "tRNA", at positions 5 to 66 of the family's 71-position model. Rfam says of the family: Transfer RNA (tRNA) molecules are approximately 80 nucleotides in length. The record is from RNAcentral.